ACUCGCCUCACCGCCGUCCACCCUGUGGCCUUGGGAGGGCAGGAAGGAGUCACCGUGGGAGACGGAGCGCACCGGCGUGGAGUGGGCGCUGUCGCGAAGAGACUCCAGACCUGACAAGAAAUAGGACAAAAAAGCUGGUGCAUGAAAAAGUGAUACACCAAAUAAUUUAGGGAAACUAUUUUAAAAUUUGAUUUUUAAAAAAAAGUUGCAUUGAAAUUUGAACUAAACUUAGAGAAAGCAAAUAAUUUAGUCAUUAAAUUAUUUCAAAAGCAGGUUAUCUAAAUAUUUUGAUUUGUUUAAAAACAAUAACAAAAACAGAUUACAUUGAAUAACAAGGCAGAAAAUAUUCAAGAAUUAAAAAUAUCUAUUUUAGAUAAACUAAUCCUUUUAUUUUAAAAGGAAUUUUAAAAAAAUGAUUAUUUGGACGAUAAACCAUUUAAAAUACAGAACUAAUUAAACUAAGUAUUUUGAAAAAUAACAAAAUUAAUUAAAAAAAUGAUUUUAUAUAAAUCAAACUGAUUAUUUAAAACAACCAUUUUAAAAACCAGAUUAUUUCUAACUGCUAAAUAAAUGUGAUUGGACCGGUUAUCUUAAUGUCCCAAAUAAAUGAAAUUAUUUUAGGAACAGAUACUGAAAAUUGAACGUAUUUCAAAAAUCAUUACAGUGGUUGCAGUUCUUCAAAAGUCGACUUAUAUUUUAGAUCAGUUUAAAUAUUCCUAAGAGUAGAUCGUUUUAAAAACAAAUAAUUUCAAUUUACAAAAUUCAUGAAACUACUUUUAAAACAGGUUUAAUUUAAAACAAUCAUAUUUUGGGAACAGAACGUUUUCGACACAACAAAAAUACCAAAUUAAUUUUGAAGCACGGCCAAGUACAUACGAUUAUUUACUCAAAUUAAUUUUGAAAAUGUAAUCAAAACACAUAAAACAGUUAAAAAUUCAUGAAAUUUUUCAUGUUUGACACUAGCAUCAGCGCAAACUUUAAUGUUCAGAAUUGCAUGUAGUGUUUGUACAUGCUUUGCCACACGCAAAAAUGAUACAAUGCAAUUAAAAAUUUCUGAGAUGAAGCAGGAGCUCUUGCACAAAAAUAUAGAAUGUGAUGAUUGUUACUUACGGCCCCCAUUAGGGAGCUCAUUCACCCACCUAACAGAUUGUUCUUGUCUGCUCUGUGUACAUUUGAAUAAUCUAAUGAUCUGUGUAGCACUGGGACCAAUAAAUCUUGCAUAGCAAU
Molecule: long non-coding RNA, 1227 nt
Organism: Hippocampus zosterae (dwarf seahorse)
Lineage: Eukaryota; Metazoa; Chordata; Actinopteri; Syngnathiformes; Syngnathidae
Exons: 2
Source: RefSeq, a predicted model, not a curated record